This is a long non-coding RNA of Homo sapiens (human), 1027 nucleotides long. Ensembl annotates it as MIR4435-2 host gene. The record is from Ensembl. NCBI's taxonomy places the organism in Eukaryota, Metazoa, Chordata, Mammalia, Primates, Hominidae.
AGUCGUGUGUACAUCAUUGGGAAUGGAGGGAAAUAAAUGACUGGAUGGUCGCUGCUUUUUAAGUUUCAAAUUGACAUUCCAGACAAGCGGUGCCUGAGCCCGUGCCUGUCUUCAGAUCUUCACAGCACAGUUCCUGGGAAGGUGGAGCCACCAGCCUCUCCCUGAAACAGGGUUUUGCCAUGUUGGCCAGACUGGUCUCAAACUCCUGACCUCAGGUGAUCUGCCUGUCUCGGCCUCCCAGAGUGCUGGGAUUAUAGGCGUGAACCACUGUGCUGGGCCCAAAGUGAAACUAUUAUAACAAGACAAGCAAAGUGGAUCAGCAAAGGCUGCAGUCACCAGCAUCUUUUCCAACCUUAAUGAACUGUAUCCUCAAAAGAACACUAUCAGACUGGCUCUGCCGACUUCCAGUUCUGGAACAAGAUGGUUAAACUCAUUUUUCCCUGCUCUGCUCCUCUAAAUACAACUAAGUACCUUGGAAACUAUUCAGCAGACAAUGAUAAAGGGCUCUGAAAGCUAGAAGAAAAGGUGUACUUGCAAGAAACCUCAGGACUUGAGUAACAGCAACAUGUCUUGGACGAGCCUGAGGAUGUCUACAAGUGGAAGAAAAGAAGCCACUGGAGCAGAAGGUGGGGAGGAUAAAAUUUGGAGCAAGAUUCUCAAGGAAGCAACAAGAUCCUAAGGAAAGGAGAAAGAGACUACCUACUGCAUUUCUGUCACUCGCUGAAAAGGACACUCUGUCAGAAAAUCUUCUAGCAAACUUCAAAGGGCAAAAUCACCCCUUGUUACUGAUAAAGCCCAGAGAGCUUCAGCAGCUAACAUUCCCUGGACAGGGCACAGCAAGGAUUUGAACCUAGGUCAGUCUGGCCAGAACACCCACAAGCUUUCCUUAACUCAGUGUGCUAUCUCCCCACGACUAGGUCACUACUGCUUUAUAAUCACCUUUGUAGCCACCAGUGGAUUUUGCUCAUCAGUAUUUUUCAGGCAAUUGAUACUUUAGAUAUUCAGCUGCAAGACGUAUGCAGUUUUC